UACAUGGAUACCUGUGGUAAUUCUAGAGCUAAUACACGCAGGCGGGGUGCAUUUAUUAGAACAAAACCAAUUUUGGUGAAUCUGAAUAACUCACAGUCUUUGUACUGGCGACGUAUCUUUCAAGUGUCUGCCCUAUCAACUUUCGAUGGUAGUUUAUGUGCCUACCAUGGUUGUAACGGGUAACGGAGAAUAAGGGUUCGACUCCGGAGAGGGAGCCUGAGAAACGGCUACCACAUCCAAGGAAGGCAGCAGGCGCGCAAAUUACCCACUCUCAGCGAGGAGGUAGUGACGAAAAAUAACGAGAUGGUUCUCUUUGUCAUCGGAAUGGGUACAAUUUAAAUCCUUUAACGAGGAUCUAUUGGAGGGCAAGUCUGGUGCCAGCAGCCGCGGUAAUUCCAGCUCCAAUAGCGUAUAUUAAAGUUGUUGCGGUUAAAAAGCUCGUAGUUGGAUCUGCUCGGAAGCCGGUGCCCUAUCUAGGUGUCUCUCUGGUUUCUGUUGGUCCUCUUUACUGAGUGCCGCAGUGACCAGAAUGUUUACUUUGAAAAAAUUAGAGUGCUCAAAGCAGGCGCGUAGCCUGAAUAGUGGUGCAUGGAAUAAUGGAAUAGGAGGUUCUAUUUUGUUGGUUUUUGGAGCAGAGGUAAUGAUUAAGAGGGACAGACGGGGGCAUUCGUAUUGCUGCGUUAGAGGUGAAAUUCUUGGA
RNAcentral lists this ribosomal RNA (700 nucleotides) under Gomphionema sp. Ugent CeMoFe76P14E14. Its description in RNAcentral is "SSU rRNA". It matches the Rfam family "Eukaryotic small subunit ribosomal RNA", at positions 136 to 924 of the family's 1831-position model. The record is from RNAcentral. Lineage: Eukaryota; Metazoa; Nematoda; Chromadorea; Chromadorida; Cyatholaimidae.